RNAcentral lists this ribosomal RNA (588 nucleotides) under uncultured delta proteobacterium. RNAcentral's name for it is "bacterial SSU rRNA". It matches the Rfam family "Bacterial small subunit ribosomal RNA", at positions 338 to 916 of the family's 1533-position model. The record is from RNAcentral. Lineage: Bacteria; Deltaproteobacteria.
CCUACGGGAGGCAGCAGUCGGGAAUUUUGGGCAAUGGGGGAAACCCUGACCCAGCAACGCCGCGUGAGGGAUGAAGGCCUUCGGGUCGUAAACCUCUGUCGGGAGGGACGAAAGGUGUCCGUUCGAAUAGGGCGGGGGCUUGACGGUACCUCCAAAGGAAGCGCCGGCUAACUCCGUGCCAGCAGCCGCGGUAAUACGGAGGGCGCAAGCGUUGUUCGGAAUCAUUGGGCGUAAAGCGCGUGUAGGCGGCUUGGUAAGUCGGAUGUGAAAGCCCGGGGCUCAACCCCGGAAUUGCAUUCGAAACUACCUCGCUCGAGUCCCGGAGAGGAAGGCGGAAUUCCCGGUGUAGGGGUGAAAUCCGUAGAUAUCGGGAGGAACACCAGUGGCGAAGGCGGCCUUCUGGACGGUGACUGACGCUGAGACGCGAAAGCGUGGGGAGCAAACAGGAUUAGAUACCCUGGUAGUCCACGCCGUAAACGUUGGGUGCUAGGUGUCGCGGGUAUUGACCCCUGCGGUGCCGUCGCUAACGCAUUAAGCACCCCGCCUGGGGAGUACGGUCGCAAGGCUAAAACUCAAAUGAAUUGACGG